Molecule: long non-coding RNA, 1689 nt
Filed under: Canis lupus familiaris (dog)
Lineage: Eukaryota; Metazoa; Chordata; Mammalia; Carnivora; Canidae
Description: lncRNA (ENSCAFG00845012738.1)
Source: RNAcentral
AAAUUUUCCAAACACAAUGGUGAUAAGCAAAUACUGCGAAGGUUAAUAGCAAAGCUCUGACAAGCUUAGCCUGUGCAGCACUGGCACAGCCUUAUGAAAACAAUUAUGCAAAAAUAAUAAUCCUGUUGCAACUUCAAAUCCAGGUGCAUAAAAAUAUUGAUUUUUUUUCUUUCAGUAGUGCUAAGUUGCCAGUGGAAACUGCCCAUGGGCCACAUGAGAGACCACGGAUCCUGUAAUGCUGGGAGGCAUAAAGCUGGCACAGAAGUGCUGCAGAGAGGCUGUCACCAGUUAGAGGGAAGGAGCCAGAGAAGCAAGAGGUGUGGCAACAGCCAAGGGUCUUCAAAGGUAGAUGGACUGUGCACCCCCUUCCUGAAUGGGAGACCAGCACAGAGACCUUGGGGGCACGCCCCGCCCAGUCCUGCCCAGCCUCGCCCAGGCUCCAGCCGGAGGCUCCACCCCAGGCCAUGGCCUUCCACUUGCUCACGUGACCACGCCACAGGCAUGCAGAGAGGCAGGCUGAGCUCUGCCAGGCCAGCAGGGUCCUUGCCAGGCCUGGUGGACUUCGAGGACAGGGAGCAGGUGAAGGCCUUUCUGGAGAACAUGGUGGAGUGCAAGUACCAGUGCUACUGUGAGAAGGACCCGGAUGAUUCAUGAAAAGCUCUACUACUAUGAGAAGUAGAACCCCGUGCCCAUCCUCCACAGCACAGCAGUCUUGGCUGAUGAUGUAAGUGUGCCUUUCGGAGCUCCCUGCCACCCGGCUCCUUUGGGCCCGGUCCUGAGCAGAGCUCUUCCUGGCGCAGACACAAGUGUGAGAUCCUGGGAGUGAAAACCAGAAGCCGCUGCAAAUGUUUCCAAAAGUCCUGUCACCGAGGACCUUAUGCGGAUACUGUGCUGAUUUGCAUUCACUCUCCUGCUCAAAAAAUUGUGCGUGGGGAUGUCCUCUGUUCUACCUGGGUAGCUACAGUAGCAGAAGUCUAAGGCUAGAACUCUCUGGGCAGAGAGAAACUGUCGGCUACUAGUGUUCUGAGAAAGGCACAGGCAGGAGGAAUGCUUUGGAGAAAUAAAGACAAAUGAGCUAGGUCUGUUGCUGACAGUGCUAAAAACUGACAGAUACGCUAGUGUCGGAACGAGGCCUGAUGAAAUACAUAAAAAGACAGGAUUGUUUUCAAAAUGAAGUAUAAAGCAUCGUAAUGAUUUAUGGAUAUUAGACCUUUCCAAAUUACCUUCAUAACCAAAGAAUAAAUGACAGAAGCAGUUAGCAUUGAUGGAGUAAUCUCCUGUAGCUAUCAUUUUAUUUUCAAUCUUGGAAUGAAUUACCUUGCUGUUCCUUGCCAUUCACUUUCAAACUCAGAUGAAUUGAAAGCACACCUGGAUAAACUGUAAAGGACACUGAGCCAGAGGAGAAAUAGGUCUCCUGUGAAGGUUGGUUUUUGUGAUCUCCUUGAGCUUAUCUGUGGCUUUCUAAAUGUUUUCCUUGUUUAUGAUUUAAAAAGAAAUGUAGUUCAGCUUAAAUAUCAGGGCCAUAUAAUUUUUAAAAAAUCAUCUUCAGAAGUUGAUUUUCUUUUUUUUUUCAAAGAGUAUUCCUCUUUUUUUUUUAAUUUUUAUUUAUUUAUGAUAGUCACAGAGAGAGAGAGAGAGAGAGGCAGAGACACAGGCAGAGGGAGAAGCAGGCUCCAUGCACCGGGAGCC